GCACAAGCGGUGGAUCAUGUUGUUUAAUUCGAUGAUACGCGAAGAGCCUUACCAGGUCUUGACAUCCCCCGCGAUGCUUUAGAGAUAAAGCGGAGGUAUUCGGGGAGACAGGUGGUGCAUGGUUGUCGUCAGCUCGUGUCGUGAGAUGUUGGGUUAAGUCCCGCAACGAGCGCAACCCCUAUUGCUAGUUACCAUCAUUAAGUUGGGGACUCUAGCGAGACUGCCAGUGAUAAACUGGAGGAAGGUGGGGAUGACGUCAAAUCAUCAUGCCCCUUAUGACCUGGGCUACAAACGUGAUACAAUGGCUGGAACAAAGGGAUGCGAAGCAGUGAUGUGGAGCGAAACCCAUAAAAACAGUCUCAGUUCGGAUUGAAGUCUGCAACUCGACUUCAUGAAGUCGGAAUCGCUAGUAAUCGCGGAUCAGCCAUGGCGCGGUGAAUACGUUCCCGGGCCUU
RNAcentral lists this ribosomal RNA (455 nucleotides) under uncultured Acholeplasma sp. RNAcentral describes it as "bacterial SSU rRNA". It matches the Rfam family "Bacterial small subunit ribosomal RNA", at positions 923 to 1382 of the family's 1533-position model. The record is from RNAcentral. Lineage: Bacteria; Bacillati; Mycoplasmatota; Mollicutes; Acholeplasmatales; Acholeplasmataceae.